This is a non-coding RNA of Penaeus vannamei (Pacific white shrimp), 180 nucleotides long. NCBI's taxonomy places the organism in Eukaryota, Metazoa, Arthropoda, Malacostraca, Decapoda, Penaeidae. The record is from RefSeq and is a predicted model, not a curated record.
GCCACGGGCAGGUGGUCACCCUGGGGCUGGAAGCCGUUCUCGUCAGCCACGAACUCCACGUGCACGGGAGUGCCGUCAGGAGCAGUAUAUGAGUAAGAACCGGCGCUGUUGAUGCCUCCAUCGGCGCUGGGAGCUCCAGACUCUGACACCACGAUGCCGUCUCCUGUCUCCACGUCGAAG